This is a long non-coding RNA of Motacilla alba alba, 3564 nucleotides long. RefSeq lists it as uncharacterized. NCBI's taxonomy places the organism in Eukaryota, Metazoa, Chordata, Aves, Passeriformes, Motacillidae. The transcript has 2 exons. The record is from RefSeq and is a predicted model, not a curated record.
UUGCAAGCUGCUGUGCCAAAGGCAGAUCCACACGAUUCAGACACACCUAUUUAUCAGAUUGUUUUCCUGGAACCUUGCAGAAGCAAUGCUGGCAGACCCAGAAGUGGCUCCUGUGCCUUGCAAUGAGCAAGCUGAACAGCAGAACUUGCUUUGCUUCCAACAGGAACAGGGCAGCCUGCAGUCUGUAGCACUGAUGUUAUCACCUGCUGAACCUCAUCGUUAAUAAGGAAUGAAUCUUUAAGCUCUGCUGUGGCAUGCCACUGCAUCUGACAGAAGGAAUGUCAGGGAAGCAGAGGUGAGCCACUGACCCCAGCCUCUGACAGUGGCCACUUGCCAUGACCAAAUCCAUGUCUCAACACCAGGAGACCUUUGUCUUACAUGCUCACUUGGUGAGCUCACCAGAGGAGUUCCAAGACACACAGCUGGAAGUCUCAACUGUUCCAACUGACCUCUGGUUCCAGGGAGGAAGCCCUGCCCUGGGUCUGAAGCAUGGAGCUCCACAGCCAGACACGGAUGCACCUAUUUAGCACAUUCAUGUUGGGAAGCAGACAGGUUCAGCAGCAAAUGGGGAAUGCCAGAGGCAAGGGUUGUUCUGAAAGAGGAGUUUACCCACGCCUGUCCUGUGGGAAAACUAAUACCUAGUACAAUCAGACUCCAGGAUGCAUUACGUACUCCACUUAACCAGCUCCAGAUAAUUGGGGGCAGGGAGCAUUAAAAGCCAUGCAAGGACAUUUAUUCUGAACACUGCAGGUUCUUCUAAAAGCCCUGAAGAUUCAGAGCUCUGCACAAUUUAACUGCAACUAAAAUACUUGGGUGACAGUUAAAAUUCCUGACUGAUUUCACAUAAAGGAGGCGUUUUCCAAACUGACAACAGAAUGGAACAAACCCUAAUAAACGUGUAGAAGCACCAAAGUUAACUCAUUCCAUCUGAACAGAUUGAGAAAAAACAACUGGGUUAACUGGCAGGGUUCUUGAUGCUCUUUAGGUUUAAUUUGUUCUUCACCAGUUAGUCUAAGUUCCCUCCAACUUUCAGAUAAAAUAUUUCAAAAAUUAUACGAACAGCUUUCUGCCAGGUAUGUUUUAAUAAUGAAAACUAUUUUAGUCCUUAAAACAAUAACUAGAUGGUUCAUAUGCGUUUUUUUAAAAACAUGUUAAAUAUUUCUGUGUCAUGCCUUUGGAGUAAACACCGUGACACAGAACUUAAAUUCAUUGUUCACUUAGAAUUCAUCAAACCAGUCAAGUAGGGCCAAGCUGGUCCUAAUUACUUUUACCAGUGGUUCAGAGAUGCUUCUGUUUUUUAGGGAGGAAACUAUGCUGGUUACCUUUCAGUGAUCUGCUUUUGGCAGUUCUCACUACUGAAGUUUUUAUGUAUUACACAGAACUGCUAAGCCUGAGAAGCUACCACUGCUUGCAAGAACCAGACCAUUGUUUAGACCCAAACCUAAAUCUCACUAGCUCAGAUUAACCUAAUACAGUAACUUGUUCUCCAGUAGGGACCCAGCAGCAGAUGUUUCAGAAAGAUUAUGGCAAGCACAGUCUCUCCCUCAGAAUUCUGCACCAUUCAGUACCUCCUGAAGUGAAAAUGAUGUAUUUAUAAUUCGAGUUGGAAUGGAAAAUCAGUCGGAACACCUUAAAACAACAAUUGCAAUUUUAAACAAGAAAGAUGGCAACUUCAGCCCUGCUUAAAAGUAGGAAUUCCAUUAAUAAGUAACUAAGACAACUAACUAUAAAAUUUUUACUCUGAACUCUACUUAUUUUAAAUAUUCAUGUAGGAUAACUGAAUUUCUUAACUUUAGCUCUUAGCCAUAAAACUUUGUAGACACUUUCCAUCCUUCAUCCGGCUAUGAAUAAAUCAUCAACACCAAAGAUAAUUUAAAAAAAACAAAGAGUGAUAUUAAAUGGCUUUAAAAGAAACUGGUUUGCAACUUCUUAAGUCUUUACAAGUAUUUCAACCCAAGUCAGUUUUCCUCUGCACAGGGAGGAAAGGCAAUUAUUCUUCACAGGGCAUCUGUAUCACCAUCCAAUAGAAAGGUCUCAAAUCUGCUUUAGAAAUACCAAAUUUCUCUAAAGUUAAAGUCCUUCAGCAUAAGAAGACCAAUCAAAAAUUCACCCAGUAUUACUUUAAUCUUUGCUUUUUAGUUACAUGUGAAAAUACUGGACAAAGUCUGUUUUGACACUACACUCCACCCUGAGCAACACACUGGCUACCUCACAGGUUGUGAGCAUAAUGAAGUCACUCUGUAGGUGGCUGGCAGACUUUCAUACCACUUCUAUUGCUUAGCCACAGAUAAGGGCCCACACUGGAACAAAACACACAUUAAAACAGCACCACAGUUGACACCAAGUUAAGAUGUACCAGUACAAUCUUUUCAGGCACUCACCUUUUCAAAGCAAACAAACACCCAAAAAACCACCCCAAAAUACAGGAGUUGAAGGCAUCUAAAAUUGAGUUACAGCAGCUACAGCUUCCACCUUCCUCAGAUGCCAUCUUUCAGAUUAAUGAAGAACAUACCACAGAGCCACCAUUUGAGAUUUAAGGGUGAUUUUGUAGCCAGGUUUGACUGCUUAAAGCCAUCAUAAAUGCAUUAGAGGGCAGAAGGCAAAUCUACUGUGCUGAGGUAUGGAAAGGUUCUUCACUGUCCAGCAUGUCUGUCUGUUCCAAAUGAAAAAUUUCCUAGGCAGGAAGUUUGAUAACACCACCUCUCACCACAUUUUAAUAUAUGAGAAAGACAAGUAUUUGUGGAGGGUACUGUAGGUUUAGGGGGAAAAAAACAAACAAGAUUAUUUAACAGCCUGUGUACACAAGUGACUAAUGUGCUAACAGGCAGUAUUGUCAGUGGUUGUAGCUAGACUUGUUUGCCAAAAUAUUAUCUGUUUCAAUCCAUUCACUUUUCCAUAAAAGCCAGAUUUCCAAGGAAGUGUAAAUAUUUAUAUUUGAAGCCAAAGUAACAUGGUAAUAAUUUUUCUUCAAAGAUCAGAAAACCCCCAAACUCUCUUAACAAAAUUUUUCCAACAUGAAACCCCCUAUCAGGUAUAUUAAGUUACCUAAAUGCCACCUGUUCUCUCUACAUGCCAACAGAAGCAGCUCAGGCAGUAGAUGGGACCCUUGCAGUUGGCAAUACCCUUGAAUUCCCCACUUUUUUUUUUUUUACAAAGAAGUCACAGAAGCCAUUUCAAAGACACCAGUUUCAUUCUAAUAGAUUGCUCCUUUAAGGUACUCUCAGUAGAAAAGGUGGAACUUUAAAGCAUUGCUUCAAAUGACAUAUUUAAACAAAAGCAGACUCAACAUUUCUGUGCAAAUUUAGUUCUUCCAACCAUCAGUUUGGAAACAUUUUCAACAGAAUGUUUAAGUUAACAAAUCAUGUUAGUUUAGAAUUAACAGGUAAGUACAGCAUUUUAAAACUAGUCAUCUAAAUAGCAUGUUGAGGGCAGUAUAAUACAUUGAGAACUUUUAAACUGUUAUGAGUCAGACAGACAUUUUAUAUAGAUUUAACACCUACCAAAGUAAAUUCUGUAACAAGGUGAUUUUGCAUUAUGCAUAUAACACUGAUCCUUAGGCAAACA